GCCGAGGUGGCGGAAUUGGCAGACGCGCACGUUUGAGGGGCGUGUGGGGUAACCCGUGGGGGUUCGAGUCCCCCCCUCGGCACCC
RNAcentral lists this transfer RNA (85 nucleotides) under Candidatus Fraserbacteria bacterium RBG_16_55_9. RNAcentral describes it as "tRNA-Leu". It matches the Rfam family "tRNA". From Rfam's summary of the family: Transfer RNA (tRNA) molecules are approximately 80 nucleotides in length. The record is from RNAcentral. Lineage: Bacteria; Candidatus Fraseribacteriota.